Cotesia glomerata is the source of this 1689-nucleotide long non-coding RNA. RefSeq lists it as uncharacterized. The record is from RefSeq and is a predicted model, not a curated record. The transcript has 6 exons. Lineage: Eukaryota; Metazoa; Arthropoda; Insecta; Hymenoptera; Braconidae.
UAACGAAAAAUUAUCUUUAAAAAUUAACAUUCAUUUCUUACUUUUUAUUUUCAGUUUAUCAACAACUAUAUUCGAAACGACGACUUCAUUUAUGACAGGUCAGAAGAAUAAUCAUCAAUCUUCAGAUUAUCCACAAACUCAUCUGCCAGUUCCCACACCGCCAAAAACUAAGGAAUUUCCGAAAGUACCAACAAUACACUCUGAUGCUUCAAAAAAUGCUGCUCUUAUCAUUGCUAUAAUAGCAGGAGCACUUAUUGCUAUUGUUUUGAUAAUAUUACUGAUUUUAAAGUUCAAAAAUCGCCCAGAAAAUAAUUUUAAAAUUGACAAGACGAAAAUCUUUAAUCAUGAUCCUAAUUCCGCUCUUUUAAGUGCAACGAAUAACGAUCAACAAUUUGACUGUGCUCCAAAACUUGAAUCAAAUGUUAGCAAAAAUGGAAGAAAACGAGAACUCAAAGAUAUCAAAGAAUGAAUGUUGAUCUCUAAACAUCACGUGGAUGUGGUUAAAGGUACAACAAAUGAUAGUUACACAUACGGAUCCGUAAACUUACACUCUUAAAUGAAAGUAGCGGGGAAUUCAUAAUUUGAAUUUGAAAAAGUCGCACGUUUGCGGAGCUGCACAUCUACGGAGUCGUACAUAUACUGAGCCGUAUUCACUGUGAAUCUAAGUGUUUCAACAAAACACUCAUAUAGAGUUUUGUUCCUAUCUAGAAACAUUUUCAUCACUCUUAAAACAUUUCCAUGUAAUUUAAUUUCCCAUGUUAAAUGCCCAUUUGUAGUUACUUUUAAAACACUUCGACUUACAGUGUAUAUACGACAAAAUAAAUUUUUUAAGGCAUUGAAAAGGGAUAAUCGAUAAGCACUAUUUACUUGCUAAGGUGAUCAAAAUGUACAUUUAAAGAUAACUACAAAAUUGUUUUUUAAAAAGCACUCAGCUCCACUGGGGGCAAUGAUGGUUGCUGAAUUUGUUUCAUGCAAAAGUAGUAAUAACAAAGUCGAAGUCGAGUACCCGGAACCAUGGAAAGCGACUUCUCACGUUUAAUUGUUGGUCAACGGUCAAGUUGUCUCUUAUGAUGACUGUACUAUAAGACGUUAUUUAGCAAGGACUUUCGACGAAAGCUUAUACGGAGGAACUGGAAUUAUAGAAAACAGUCAAGUAGACAAUUGAUUGUCUUACAUUUGUGAUCCUUUGAAGAACCCUAAUAAUCUUACUACUUUAAAGGAGCUUCUGAACACUAGUAUGUCCAAGAACUGGUUGGUGAUCGAGCAAGUGACUUUGACAGAUAUUUACGUGUUUGCAAGCUUAAUUAAUCUUAAUUACAUACCAGAACCUUAGUAUACUGAGUUGGUUCGUUGGUUUGAAAAGAUUAGCACCUUGAAAUAUGUGUCUAAAGUAGUGAUGUAAAGUAAAGCAUGUGCUCGUCAAAUGCUCGUCAUUUGACGUCAAUUGACCAACUGAAAGAAAUGACCGCCGGUCAUUUUUCGAAUUGAAUGGCGAUUCAAUUUAAAAGCUAAAUUAAAAAAAUUUUAAAACUUGACCAAAAAAUAAUCGAAAAAUUUUUGACGGUCAUUUUCCAUCUAAGUAGUUGAGCAAGCCAGAUUUUUUUUACGACCGUCAGAAUUUUUAGUUAAAUUUUGUGUUUGUAUUAAUAGAUAUUGUGAUUGUUUUAAAUAAAUAAUCUGUAGAAUCAA